This 1063-nucleotide long non-coding RNA is filed under the name Dromaius novaehollandiae (emu). RNAcentral describes it as "lncRNA (ENSDNVG00000013423.1)". The record is from RNAcentral. Lineage: Eukaryota; Metazoa; Chordata; Aves; Casuariiformes; Dromaiidae.
AUUUAUUUCCUUCUUUGUACAAAUGUCAACUCUCCUGACUGGCGGUGCAAAGGCUUCAGAUUCUCAACACUUAGCAGGGUGCUCAGAUGGCAAAAAUCAAACACAAAACAAGAUACUAUGGAGUGGCAGAGAUUUAGAAACCUCCAUCUGAAAGUUUUAAAUUUCUUAUUUUUGUUUUAUGUGCAAAAAAUCAGGCAUCAAGCACUAGGUAUUGAAAGUAGAGCUCUUUGCCUCACUGUAAUUUAUCAGCAUUGUCAAGGUACUGAUUUUUUUAAAAGCUAGUUAGCAUCUUCUAACGCUAAGCAACAGAAGGAAAACAAGUUUUCUUUCCUAGUUUUUUGUGAGCUAUUUUCUCCUCCCAGUUUCUCCCACUAAACUUCCACUGAAAUUGCUAGCUGAUCUGAGCCAACUGGGAGCGGAAUUUGGCGAACUGUCUUUAGCAUCCAAAGGCACAGGUGUGUUAGCGUGCGUAUGUUGGCAAGGAAAAUCCUAGACAUUUUCUGUUUCUUAAUGUGAGAAAACAUGUACAUAUUGUGUAUACAGUAAUGAGAUAUUUUGAAGUCAAAUCCCCAUUUAUACAUACAUUCACUUUCAGAUAUUCUAAUCUGCAACAAGAUCUUGGCAAUGGUCCUGACCUUUCUGUUUUUUGAUUUGUUUGCUUCUUYUACUGCUGUGUGAUCUCCUGGUAAUGCGGGUUACAGUCAUCACUAUUGUAUAUAUGUGCUUGCAUGUGUGUGCAUUGAUAAAUUCUCCCUUUCGGAUUUCUGAAUUUUCCAUUUCAAGUCCAGCCGGUACAAUUGUGAACUCAUCUUUCUAGUAUGCUCCUCCAUGUCAGAUUGCCAGAUACCAAGAUGUUUGACCAAGUGUUUCAAUUAAGUCCCCUGAGGAAAGCUGUCUGUAUACUCGUGAAAGGGCAUGCUCUGUGUAGGAUGACUGUGUACAGUAUAAAUCUAUAAAAUGUGGAAGUGUUUAUAAAUUUAUCUGCCAAAUAUUUAUCAUCCAUGUAACAAAUGCAAAGUUAUUUAGUGUACAUCAGAUUAAUAAAGGGGCAUUUUUUGCUCCA